Molecule: ribosomal RNA, 229 nt
Filed under: uncultured bacterium
Lineage: Bacteria
Description: partial 16S ribosomal RNA
Rfam family: Bacterial small subunit ribosomal RNA
Source: RNAcentral
UGCGUAGGCGGGCUAAUAAGUCAGUGGUGAAAUCUCUCGGCUCAACCGGGAAACUGCCAUUGAUACUGUUAGUCUUGAGUUCGGUUGAGGUAGGCGGAAUGUGUAAUGUAGCGGUGAAAUGCUUAGAUAUUACACAGAACACCAAUUGCGUAGGCAGCUUACUAGACCGUAACUGACGCUGAGGCACGAAAGCGUGGGGAGCGAACAGGAUUAGAUACCCUGGUAGUCC